GACGAACGCUGGCGGCGUGCUUAACACAUGCAAGUCGAACGGAAAGGCCCUGCUUUUGUGGGGUGCUCGAGUGGCGAACGGGUGAGUAACACGUGAGUAACCUGCCCUUGACUUUGGGAUAACUUCAGGAAACUGGGGCUAAUACCGGAUAGGAGCUCCUGCUGCAUGGUGGGGGUUGGAAAGUUUCGGCGGUUGGGGAUGGACUCGCGGCUUAUCAGCUUGUUGGUGGGGUAGUGGCUUACCAAGGCUUUGACGGGUAGCCGGCCUGAGAGGGUGACCGGCCACAUUGGGACUGAAAUACGGCCCAGACUCCUACGGGAGGCAGCAGUGGGGAAUAUUGCACAAUGGGCGGAAGCCUACUGCAGCAACGCCGCGUGCGGGAUGACGGCCUUCGGGUUGUAAACCGCUUUCGCAUGUGACGAAGCGUGAGUGACGGUAAUGGGUAAAGAAGCACCGGCUAACUACGUG
Molecule: ribosomal RNA, 468 nt
Filed under: uncultured bacterium
Lineage: Bacteria
Description: partial 16S ribosomal RNA
Rfam family: Bacterial small subunit ribosomal RNA
Source: RNAcentral